This is a long non-coding RNA of Gekko japonicus, 232 nucleotides long. RefSeq lists it as uncharacterized. NCBI's taxonomy places the organism in Eukaryota, Metazoa, Chordata, Lepidosauria, Squamata, Gekkonidae. The record is from RefSeq and is a predicted model, not a curated record. The transcript has 3 exons.
GACAAGAUCCUGAAACUGAGCGCUGAAGUGCUCCGCCUAGAGAAGACCCUGCAAGAAGAGCGGGCACAGUGCCAGGUCUUGCGCGUGGAGCUGGCCCGAGAGCGUGACUCCAGUCUGGUGCAGGUCUCUGAGAGCCACCGGGAGUUACGUGAGCUGCGGGCUGCUCUGCAGGUUGCCCAGAAGGAGAAGGAGCAUCUGCAGGCCGAAAAGCAGGAGUUGCUGACGUACAUAC